RNAcentral lists this ribosomal RNA (245 nucleotides) under uncultured Sporobacter sp. RNAcentral's name for it is "partial 16S ribosomal RNA". It matches the Rfam family "Bacterial small subunit ribosomal RNA", at positions 524 to 768 of the family's 1533-position model. Lineage: Bacteria; Bacillati; Bacillota; Clostridia; Eubacteriales; Oscillospiraceae. The record is from RNAcentral.
UACGUAGGUGGCAAGCGUUGUCCGGAUUUACUGGGUGUAAAGGGCGCGUAGGCGGGCUUUCAAGUCAGAUGUGAAAUACCGAGGCUUAACCUCGGGGCUGCAUUUGAAACUGUUAGUCUUGAGUAUCGGAGAGGAAAGCGGAAUUCCUAGUGUAGCGGUGAAAUGCGUAGAUAUUAGGAGGAACACCAGUGGCGAAGGCGGCUUUCUGGACGACAACUGACGCUGAGGCGCGAAAGUGUGGGGAG